RNAcentral lists this small nuclear RNA (90 nucleotides) under Sorex araneus (European shrew). Lineage: Eukaryota; Metazoa; Chordata; Mammalia; Eulipotyphla; Soricidae. The record is from RNAcentral.
GUGCUAUCGGCAGCACAUAUACUAAAAUUGGAACCAUACAGAGAAGAUUAGCAUGGCCCCUGCGCAAGCAAAAAAGUAAGACUGUCUUAU